Dipodomys ordii (Ord's kangaroo rat) is the source of this 1170-nucleotide RNA transcript. It is a transcript of the gene named WD40 repeat-containing protein SMU1 pseudogene, with no coding region annotated. The transcript is spliced from 3 exons. The record is from RefSeq and is a predicted model, not a curated record. NCBI's taxonomy places the organism in Eukaryota, Metazoa, Chordata, Mammalia, Rodentia, Heteromyidae.
AUGUCCAUGGAAAUCGAGUCUUCCGAUGUGAUCCGUCUGAUCCUGCAGUACCUGAAAGAGAACGGUUUACAUCGGGCCUUGGCUACCUUACAAGAGGAGGCUGCCGUCUCUCUGAAUACAGUGGACAGCAUCGAGAGUUUCGUGGCUGACAUUCAUAGUGGCCGUUGGGAUACUGUCUUACAGGCUAUACAGUCUCUGAAAUUGCCAGACAAAACCCUCAUGGACCUCUACGAGCAGGUUGUUCUAGAACUGAUAGAACUCCGAGAAUUGGGUGCCGCCAGGUCAGUUUUGAGACAGACUGACCCCAUGAGGAUGUUAAGACAGACCCAGCCCGAGCGGUACAUUCAUCUGGAGAACCUCUUGGCCAGGUCUUACUUUGAUCAUUGGAUUCCAAAUGUCAUGACCAAGACAACCCCACCAUCUGAGAUGGGAGGAUAUUACUGCAAUGUCUGUGACUGUGUGAGAGACUCCAUCAACUUCCUGGAUCAUAUGAAUGGAAAGAAUCAACGGAACCUGGGCAUGCCUAGGCAUGUGGAACGUUCUAUCCUGGAUCAGGUGAAGAAAGGCUUUGAGUCCAAAGACAGCAGUCAGAUCCUUAGUGCCUCUUUGGACCAGACAAUCAGAAUUCAUGGCUUAAAAUCUGGGAAAACCCUAAAGGAAUUUCGCGGUCAUUCCUCCUUCGUUAAUGAAGCAACAUUUACACAAGAUGGACAUUAUAUUAUCAGUGCUUCCUCUGAUGGCACUGUAAAGAUCUGGAAUAUGAAGACAACAGAAUGCUCAAAUACCUUGAAGUCCUUGGGCAGCACUGCGGGGACAGACAUUACUGUCAACAGUGUGAUCCUGCUUCCUCAAAACCCAGAACACUUUGUGGUGUGCAACCGAUCAAACACUGUGGUCAUCAUGAACAUGCAAGGCCAGAUUGUCAGAAGCUUCAGCUCUGGUAAGAGAGAAGGUGGUGACUUUGUUUGCUGUGCUCUCUCUCCUCGUGGAGAAUGGAUCUAUUGUGUGGGGGAAGACUUUGUGCUCUACUGCUUUAACACAGUCACUGGCAAACUGGAGAGAACUUUGACAGUUCACGAGAAGGAUGUGAUUGGUAUUGCACAUCAUCCUCAUCAGAAUUUGAUUGUUACCUACAGUGAAGAUGGACUUCUAAAGCUCUGGAAACCCUAA